RNAcentral lists this transfer RNA (101 nucleotides) under Rivularia sp. (in: cyanobacteria). RNAcentral describes it as "Rivularia sp. (in: Bacteria) tRNA-Met". It matches the Rfam family "tRNA". Rfam says of the family: Transfer RNA (tRNA) molecules are approximately 80 nucleotides in length. Their secondary structure includes four short double-helical elements and three loops (D, anti-codon, and T loops). Lineage: Bacteria; Bacillati; Cyanobacteriota; Cyanophyceae; Nostocales; Rivulariaceae. The record is from RNAcentral.
CAAAAGUUAGCUCAAUGGCAGAGCAAUAGACUCAUAAUCUAUGAUUCACAGGUAUCUCCCUUCGGGAGACGCUCCGCGAACGAUUCCUGUACUUUUAACCA